UACAGAGGUCCCGAGCGUUGUUCGGAUUCAUUGGGCGUAAAGGGUGCGUAGGUGGCGCUGUAAGUCGGGUGUGAAAUUUCGGAGCUUAACUCCGAAACUGCAUCGAUACUGCGGUGCUUGAGGACUGGAGAGGAGACUGGAAUUCAUGGUGUAGCAGUGAAAUGCGUAGAGAUCAUGAGGAAGACCAGUGGCGAAGGCGGGUCUCUGGACAGUUCCUGACACUGAGGCACGAAGGCCAGGGGAGCAAACGGG
Molecule: ribosomal RNA, 252 nt
Filed under: uncultured bacterium
Lineage: Bacteria
Description: partial 16S ribosomal RNA
Rfam family: Bacterial small subunit ribosomal RNA
Source: RNAcentral